Molecule: ribosomal RNA, 113 nt
Filed under: uncultured bacterium
Lineage: Bacteria
Description: partial 16S ribosomal RNA
Rfam family: Bacterial small subunit ribosomal RNA
Source: RNAcentral
CUUCGGGCCUUGUACACACUGCCCGUCACGCCAUGGAAGCUGUUUGUACCCAAAAUUGUUUUAGCUAACCCGUAAGGGGGCGGAUAACUAAGGUGUGGGGAGUGACUGGGGCG